GCCUAAGCGUGCCCUAGUAACCUUCGCAAAAAGGAAGAGAGGGGUUCCCCUUUUGGCCCUGGCCCAGUGACUUUGCUGUUUCUUCCUUGGAGAGACCUGGCUUUGGGCGAUGGGGGGAUAAGGGGAUUAGAGCAGUGGCUCUCAUAGGGUGGUCUGAGGGGCCCUGUGGGUCCGAAGAUCCUUUCAAAACUAGUUUCAUAGUAAUGGUAGGAUUUCGUUUCCCUUUCUUAACUCUCGCUGAAAUUUUCCAGAGAACUGAUGUGUGAUGACGUCAUCGCUCUCAUGACUAAAGGAAUGUGUGCUUGUAUUGUGUUUUCUAGAAUUUCCUAAGCUUCCAGAAUGUUCCACAUUUGUUGAAAACUACAAACAAACAUAUCCAAGAAUCCCAGUGAAUGCCAAGCAGCAUAAACACAAAGAAAACCACAUCAAGGCACUGCGGAAUCAAAUUUCUCAAAACUAGUGAUGCAGAGAAAAUCUUAAGUUAAGACUAAUCACUGCUUUCUCAUCAAAAACUAUGCAAACCAGAAGAUGGUGGAACAACAUCUCUAAAGCAUGGGAAGAAUGCUUUCAACCCAGAAUUUUAUAUCCAGUGAAAAUGUCCUUCAAAGAUGAAGGCAAAAUGAAGACAUUUCAGAUAAGCGAAAGCCAAGAGCAUUCAUCACUAGUGAACUUGUACCACAAGGAAUGCUAAAAGAAGUUCUUCAGGUUAAAGGAAAAUGAUACCAGAUGGACACAAGAAUCUAUGCAAAGGAAUGAAGAGUACCAGAAAUGUUUUCUGACAUCAGAAGUGGUAUCCAAAGAAGACCCUCAACAACUCUGAGGCCAGUGAGCAACCACGUGCUGGUACCCACUGGGCCCAUUGAGCUCACCACUUUCUUGCCAACCUUGCAGUCAGCCUGAAUGUUGCUCUCUUUGCAUGUUGAGCUCUCGGAAUUUAUUGUGCAUACCCGUAUUCUGUUUGUUGAAGCUUCUUGAAGAAGAAAGGAAAAAGAGGAAGGCAAAACCUUAAUGAAUAUAGAAAGAUGCAAAAGGUUUGUGGAAGAGAAAUUUUAUGUUGUGAGGUCACAGCUGGCUAAAAUUGAAUAGAUUUAUUUACAAGGAUUUUUAAAAUGAGCCCAGUAAUGUACUGAUACAAAACUAGAGUUUAAUUUUCUCUCUGUUAAAAUCACAAAAUUUCUUAGAUUAUGGGUCUGUUCUUAAUAAAAUAUUAUAAAAGGUUUUUCUUUACCUUUAAUGUAAUCUGCCUAGGAAACAAGGAUUCCGUGUCAUGGGAAAUAUUUCCUGUGUUCCACAUUGUCUUUAUCAGAUCUUUAAUUAGGAAAACUGAGUUUUUUCAAUUUUAAGAGCUAAGGUUUUUUACAACUAUAUAACUUCCUAUAUUUGCCUUUGAAAUCUUUCAGUUAUCACUUUGGUGAACAGAUAACUAAGUGUUAUGUCAUAGUGACUUACACUCCUAAUUGAUCAAGGGUUUCAAAUCUUUUGACAUUUUUAACAAACUUCCCCAAAUCAAAUUCUGAAUGAAGUCUUUUUGACCUCAAACUAACUUUGGAAUUUUCCAGAGGGCCCCUGGAAGUUCUGAAAAAAUUUGCUCUUUCUCCUUAUAAAAGAGAAAUCUCAGUUUA
Long non-coding RNA from Globicephala melas (long-finned pilot whale), 1622 nucleotides. RefSeq lists it as uncharacterized. Lineage: Eukaryota; Metazoa; Chordata; Mammalia; Artiodactyla; Delphinidae. The record is from RefSeq and is a predicted model, not a curated record.